AAUGAGUGUUUCUCUGCUCCUCUCAGGUUUGUUCUAUGCUGCUAAGCAUUAACAGUGGAGCACACCAAGGCCGGCCGCAGAGAAAUGAGACUAGGGGAACAUUUGCUGAUUUUGGAGGAUGUGGCAUGCAGCUGCCUGAACUUAACUCAGAAAAGGCUGUGGACAGACGAGAAGGGGACCGUGGCCCACGCCGGCCUGUUCACCGGGCGCUCCCUCUGUUGCCCAUGAAUGCUCUGAAGGAAGAUGUGGCAAAGCACCUGCCAUUGCAAAGGGAAAGGAAAAUAACAGUGCUGCUG
This is a long non-coding RNA of Artibeus jamaicensis (Jamaican fruit-eating bat), 296 nucleotides long. RefSeq lists it as uncharacterized. The transcript is spliced from 2 exons. The record is from RefSeq and is a predicted model, not a curated record. Lineage: Eukaryota; Metazoa; Chordata; Mammalia; Chiroptera; Phyllostomidae.